CGAAGGGUGCAAGCGUUACUCGGAAUUACUGGGCGUAAAGCGUGCGUAGGUGGUUCGUUAAGUCUGUCGUGAAAGCCCCGGGCUCAACCUGGGAAUGGCGAUGGAUACUGGCGGGCUAGAGUGCGGUAGAGGAGAGUGGAAUUCCCGGUGUAGCAGUGAAAUGCGUAGAGAUCGGGAGGAACAUCAGUUGCGAAGGCGGCUCUCUGGACCAGCACUGACACUGAGGCACGAAAGCGUGGGGAGCAAACAGGAUUAGAUACCCUGGUAGUCCACGCCCUAAACGAUGCGAACUGGACGUUGGGAGCAACUAGGCUCUCAGUGUCGAAGCUAACGCGUUAAGUUCGCCGCCAGGGGAGUACGGUCGCAAGACUG
This 372-nucleotide ribosomal RNA is filed under the name uncultured organism. RNAcentral's name for it is "bacterial SSU rRNA". It matches the Rfam family "Bacterial small subunit ribosomal RNA", at positions 526 to 896 of the family's 1533-position model. The record is from RNAcentral.